GAGACCCACGCCAACAGUUGCCAGCAUGUCCUCCGGGAUGGUGGGGACACUGUUGGGACCGCCUCUGCUAAAGAGGAGGAAGGAAUGGGCAACGGUAGGUCAGCAUGCCCCGAAUUAUCCGGGCUACACGCGGGCUACAAUGGUCAGGACAAUGGGUAUCAACACCGAGAGGUGAAGGCAAUCUCUUAAACCUGUCCUUAGUUCGGAUUGUGGGCUGCAACUCGCCCACAUGAAGCUGGAAUCCGUAGUAAUCGCGUCUCAAAAUGGCGCGGUGAAUAU
RNAcentral lists this ribosomal RNA (279 nucleotides) under uncultured archaeon. Its description in RNAcentral is "partial 16S rRNA". It matches the Rfam family "Archaeal small subunit ribosomal RNA", at positions 1047 to 1325 of the family's 1478-position model. The record is from RNAcentral.